Molecule: ribosomal RNA, 117 nt
Filed under: Procavia capensis (Cape rock hyrax)
Lineage: Eukaryota; Metazoa; Chordata; Mammalia; Hyracoidea; Procaviidae
Source: RNAcentral
GUCUACGGCCAUACCACCGAGUAUGCCCAAUCCUGUCUCCUCUCAGACACUAAGCAGGAUUGGGUCUGGUUACUGUUUAGACAGGAGACCACCUGGGAAUACUGGGUACUGUAGGCU